Molecule: ribosomal RNA, 467 nt
Filed under: uncultured bacterium
Lineage: Bacteria
Description: partial 16S ribosomal RNA
Rfam family: Bacterial small subunit ribosomal RNA
Source: RNAcentral
GAUGAACGCUGGCGGCGUGCUUAACACAUGCAAGUCGAACGGAAAGGCCCAAGCUUUCUUGGGUACUCGAGUGGCGAACGGGUGAGUAACACGUGGGUGAUCUGCCCUGCACUUCGGGAUAAGCCUGGGAAACUGGGUCUAAUACCGGAUAGGACGAUGGGUUGGAUGCCGUGGUGGAAAGUUUUUUGGGGGUGGGGUGGGCUCGCGGCCUAUCAGCGUUUUGGGGGGGGAUUGGGCUACCAAGGCGUCGACGGGGAGCCGGCCGGGGAGGGGGUACGGGCAAAAUGGGGAUGGGAUACGGCCCAGACCCCCACGGGGGGGAGCAGUGGGGAAUAUUGGACAAUGGGCGGGAGCCCGAUGCAGGCACGGCGGCUGGGGGAUGACGGGCUUCGGGUUGUAAACUCGUUUCGCUAGGGACGAAGCGUUUUGUGACGGUACCUGGAGAAGAAGCACCGGCUAACUACGUG